ACCUGACUGGCUCAGUUGUUAGAGGUCUGACUCUUAUUCUCAGGGUCAUGAGUUUAAGUCUCAUGUUAGGCA
RNAcentral lists this transfer RNA (72 nucleotides) under Nyctereutes procyonoides (raccoon dog). It matches the Rfam family "tRNA". From Rfam's summary of the family: Transfer RNA (tRNA) molecules are approximately 80 nucleotides in length. RNAcentral also lists the same sequence under 1 other name. Lineage: Eukaryota; Metazoa; Chordata; Mammalia; Carnivora; Canidae. The record is from Rfam by way of RNAcentral.